This 29-nucleotide non-coding RNA is filed under the name Mus musculus (house mouse). The record is from RNAcentral. Lineage: Eukaryota; Metazoa; Chordata; Mammalia; Rodentia; Muridae.
UCACUCGUGCACAGGAUCACUCUCGGAAC